This 294-nucleotide long non-coding RNA is filed under the name Homo sapiens (human). Its description in RNAcentral is "HSALNT0131768". Lineage: Eukaryota; Metazoa; Chordata; Mammalia; Primates; Hominidae. The record is from RNAcentral.
CUCCUCCCAGCAAUGCCCUCCCUCCUCCCAGCCAGGCCCUCACCACCGAUGGUGACCGGGUACCCCACCUGCUCCAGUUCCUGGCAGCACUCUCCCUCCUCCCGACAGCACCCUCCCUCCUCCCAGCAACACCCUCCCUCCUCCUGACAGCACCCUCCCUCCUUCCAGCCAGGCCCUCACCACCGACGGUGACUGGGUGCCCCACCCAGUUCCUGACAGCACCCUCUCUCCUCCCAGCCAGCACCCUUGCCACCGAUGGUGACCGGGUGCCCGGCCUGCCCCAGUUCCUGACAG